UUUAUCCGGCAUCUAUCAGUUCUCACGAAAUUUAAUUUGAUAAUUUUAUUAAUUAAACUAAUAUUUCUUGGGAAGUCAAGCGGGAUUCCUGAUAAUGUGCCUUUAUUAGAAAAUAGGACUCUAUACGAUCUUAUAAGAAACAAAUUUCAAGCCCAGGAGACGCAUAAUUUUUCCAUUAACAUUACUCAUUUGAUAAGCAUAUCUAAACAAAAAAUACCUUAUAGCAACGAAGAGGAUUUCAAUAAAAACCUAGACGAACUUAAAGGGCUCAUAAAUGAUAAUGUUAGCCACCAGUAUUUAGGACCAACGGAUUGGGAUGGGACAGUUCCAUAUAUAUACAGCAAAUUUGUUCCUACUGCCUCUAUAGAUUCAGAUUGCAUUGUUGAAAUUGAAGUUAAAAAGGUUAUAACGAAACCAGGAAAAUGUUUAAUUAGUAAGGGUAAAAUACAACCUUUGUGCGGAGCGGGUAAAUAUUUAGGAUUUUCUAAAAAAUGUCUUAACUUGAAAACAAGAACAGCG
This is a long non-coding RNA of Gordionus sp. m RMFG-2023, 519 nucleotides long. RefSeq lists it as uncharacterized. The record is from RefSeq and is a predicted model, not a curated record. NCBI's taxonomy places the organism in Eukaryota, Metazoa, Nematomorpha, Gordioida, Chordodea, Parachordodidae. The transcript is spliced from 3 exons.